AGUGAACGCUGGCGGUAGGCCUAACACAUGCAAGUCGAACGGCAGCACAGUAAGAGCUUGCUCUUACGGGUGGCGAGUGGCGGACGGGUGAGGAAUACAUCGGAAUCUACUUUUUCGUGGGGGAUAACGUAGGGAAACUUACGCUAAUACCGCAUACGACCUACGGGUGAAAGCAGGGGAUCUUCGGACCUUGCGCGAUUGAAUGAGCCGAUGUCGGAUUAGCUAGUUGGCGGGGUAAAGGCCCACCAAGGCGACGAUCCGUAGCUGGUCUGAGAGGAUGAUCAGCCACACUGGAACUGAGACACGGUCCAGCCUCCUGCGGGACGCAGCAGUGGGGAAUAUUGGACAAUGGGCGCAAGCCUGAUCCAGCCAUCCCGCGUGGGUGAAGAAGGCCUUCGGGUUGUAAAGCCCUUUUGUUGGGAAAGAAAAGCAGCAGGUUAAUACCCCGCUGUUCUGACGGUACCCAAAGAAUAAGCACCGGCUAACUUCGUG
RNAcentral lists this ribosomal RNA (492 nucleotides) under uncultured bacterium. Its description in RNAcentral is "partial 16S ribosomal RNA". It matches the Rfam family "Bacterial small subunit ribosomal RNA", at positions 29 to 507 of the family's 1533-position model. The record is from RNAcentral.